UUCCCCUAGUAACUGCGAGUGAAGAGGGAAAAGCUCAAAUUUAAAAUCUGGCAGCUUCGCUGUCCGAGUUGUAAAUUAGAGAAGUGUUGCCCGUGUUGGACCGUGUACAAGUCUCCUGGAAUGGAGCGUCAUAGAGGGUGAGAAUCCCGUCUUUGACACGGACCCCCCAAUACUUUGUGGUGCACUCUCAAAGAGUCGUGUUGUUUGGGAAUGCAGCACUAAAUGGGUGGUAAAUUCCAUCUAAAGCUAAAUAUUGGCGAGAGACCGAUAGCGAACAAGUACCGUGAGGGAAAGAUGAAAAGAACUUUGGAAAGAGAGUUAAACAGUACGUGAAAUUGUUGAAAGGGAAACGCUUAAAGUCCAGUCGCGUUGGUUGGAAAUCAGUCUUGCUCUUUUGCUUGAUGUACUUUCUGAUUGACGGGUCAACAUCAGUUUUGACCGGUGGAUAAAGGUUGAGGGAAUGUGGCACCUUCGGGUGUGUUAUAGCCCUGUCUAACAUGCUUGCGAGUAUUUGGGUGGAAAACCCAUAUGCGCAAUGAAAGUGAAAGUUGAGAACUCGUUAGAGUGCAUCGACGCCCAUACCUGACGUUUUACUGACGGAUAUGCGGUAGAGCAAGUAUGUUGGGACCCGAAAGAUGGUGAACUAUGCCUGAAUAGGGUGAAGCCAGAGGAAACUCUGGUGGAGGCUCGUAGCGAUUCUGACGUGCAAAUCGAUCGUCAAAUUUGGGUAUAGGGGCG
This 738-nucleotide ribosomal RNA is filed under the name Cyptotrama asprata. RNAcentral describes it as "eukaryotic LSU rRNA". It matches the Rfam family "Eukaryotic large subunit ribosomal RNA", at positions 75 to 925 of the family's 3401-position model. Lineage: Eukaryota; Fungi; Basidiomycota; Agaricomycetes; Agaricales; Physalacriaceae. The record is from RNAcentral.